AGUGGCUCAGAGUGAACGCUGGCGGCAGGCCUAAUACAUGCAAGUCGAACGGCAGCACGGCAGAGCUUGCUCUGUGGGUGGCGAGUGGCGGACGGGUGAGGAAUACAUGGGAACCUGCCCAGUCGUGGGGGAUAACGUAGGGAAACUUACGCUAAUACCGCAUGCGCCCUUCGGGGGAUAGCCGGGGACCUUCGGGCCUGGCGCGAUUGGAUGAGCCCAUGUCGGAUUAGCUAGUUGGCGGGGUAAUGGCCCACCAAGGCGACGAUCCGUAGCUGGUCUGAGAGGAUGAUCAGCCACACUGGAACUGAGACACGGUCCAGACUCCUACGGGAGGCAGCAGUAGGGAAUAUUGGACAAUGGGCGCAAGCCUGAUCCAGCCAUGCCGCGUGAGUGAAGAAGGCCCUCGGGUUGUAAAGCUCUUUUGUCCGGAAAGAAAAGCGCCGGGUUAAUACCCUGGUGUCCUGACGGUACCGGAAGAAUAAGCACCGGCUAACUUCGUG
This 500-nucleotide ribosomal RNA is filed under the name uncultured bacterium. RNAcentral's name for it is "bacterial SSU rRNA". It matches the Rfam family "Bacterial small subunit ribosomal RNA", at positions 18 to 507 of the family's 1533-position model. The record is from RNAcentral.